AAAGAAAGAAACAUAAUAUAUUAGCACUGUGUUAAACAGACAGAUACCACCCCACACAGACAGAUACCACCCCACACAGACAGAUACCACCCCACACAGACAGAUACCACCCCACACAGACAGGUACCACCCCACACACACAGGUACCACCCCACACAGACAGAUACCACCCCACACAGACAGGUACCACCCCACACAGACAGAUACCACCCCACACAGACAGGUACCACCCCACACAGACAGGUACCACCCCACACAGACAGAUACCACCCCACACAGACAGAUACCACCCCACACAGACAGGUACCACCCCACACAGACAGGUACCACCCCACACAGACAGGUACCACCCCACACACACAGGUACCACCCCACACAGGCAGGUACCACCCCACACAGACAGAUACCACCCCACACAGACAGGUACCACCCCACACAGACAGGUACCACCCCACACAGACAGGUACCACCCCACACACACAGGUACCACCCCACACAGACAGAUACCACCCCACACAGACAGGUACCACCCCACACAGACAGAUACCACCCCACACAGACAGGUACCACCCCACACAGACAGGUACCACCCCACACAGACAGAUACCACCCCACACAGACAGAUACCACCCCACACAGACAGGUACCACCCCACACAGACAGGUACCACCCCACACAGACAGAUACCACCCCACACAGACAGGUACCACCCCACACACACAGGUACCACCCCACACAGACAGGUACCACCCCAAGCAGACAGAUACCACCCCACACAGACAGGUACCACCCCACACAGACAGCUACCACCCCACACAGACAGGUACCACCCCACACACACAGGUACCACCCCACACAGACAGGUACCACCCCACACAGACAGGUACCACCCCACACACACAGAUACCACCCCACACAGACAGGUACCACCCCACACAGACAUGGUACCACUCCACAUAGACAGGUACCACCCCACACAGACAGGUACCACCCCACACAGACAGGUACCACCCCACACAGACAGGUACCACCCCACACAGACAGAUACCACCCCACACAGACAGGUACCACCCCACACAGACAGGUACCACCCCACACAGACAGAUACCACCCCACACAGACAGGUACCACCCCACACAGACAGGUACCACCCCACACAGACAGCUACCACCCCACACAGACAGGUACCACCCCACACAGACAGGUACCACCCCACACAGACAGGUACCACCCCACACAGACAAAGGGGAUCGAAACUUCCAUCUCUGAAAUACAAGUUCAUCCUAAACAUUUGAUGUCAAGUUUGAUUUAUCCGAGUUCUCCUUAACAGUAGCUCAACAUGCACAAAACCAGACCUGUACAUAAGACAACAACACAAAGUCAUCUAAAGAACUCUGUCACACACACACACUGCACCCUGUGUUCACACACACUUACAGACAAAACACAAAGGCUACAUCUCCCUCUGCAGGAACCUGAACAGAGCUGCAAACAUAAAGAGUUUCAAUCAAAAUGUCUCCUCUCGCUCCCAUCCUUCCCAGAAUGCCUUCUGUUUGACCUUUCACCCCAACCUCACUGAAAUAGAACACUGGGAGGUUUCUCUCUCAGAGAAAAGUACAAAGAAGGCAAAUGGUGGAAUGAUGAACAGAAAAACAUGGGCAGCAAGAACAGAAGGAGAGAGAGAGAAAGACAGGGAGUCAAGGAUGAAGAAGAACAUUAUGGCAAAGUGCAGGGGAAGAUACAAGGGAAAGAGAGGACAUCACCCAGGCAACAAGAAGAAGCAGAGAAUAAGUAAACAGGGACUAUAAGGCAGUAUGUCUGAAGGGGACAGAAAUACAGUUCAUACAGAGUAAUUAGAAGUGGAGAAUAGAAUAGGCACAGAUAAGCAGUGGACACAAAGAUAGACGUCUUGACAUACAGAAAGACAUAUGAACUGAAAGUGAGGAAAAUGAAGUGAAAGUGAGAGAGAUCAUGUAUUUACCAGAAUGGGAGGGGCAACUCAGCCUGUGGAGGGGGAGGAGAGGCCGUGACUCUGAG
Molecule: long non-coding RNA, 2037 nt
Filed under: Salmo salar (Atlantic salmon)
Lineage: Eukaryota; Metazoa; Chordata; Actinopteri; Salmoniformes; Salmonidae
Description: lncRNA (ENSSSAG00000089443.1)
Source: RNAcentral